GAGUUUGAUCAUGGCUCAGGACGAACGCUGGCGGCGUGCCUAAUACAUGCAAGUCGAGCGAGCAGAACUAACAGAUCUACUUCGGUAGUGACGUUUCGGAAGCGAGCGGCGGAUGGGUGAGUAACACGUGGGUAACCUGCCCUUAAGUCUGGGAUACCACUUGGAAACAGGUGCUAAUACCGGAUAACAACAAGUGCUGCAUGGCACUUGCUUGAAAGGCGGCGUAAGCUGUCGCUAAAGGAUGGACCCGCGGUGCAUUAGCUAGUUGGUAAGGUAACGGCUUACCAAGGCAACGAUGCAUAGCCGAGUUGAGAGACUGAUCGGCCACAUUGGGACUGAGACACGGCCCAAACUCCUACGGGAGGCAGCAGUAGGGAAUCUUCCACAAUGGGCGAAAGCCUGAUGGAGCAACGCCGCGUGAGUGAAGAAGGUUUUCGGAUCGUAAAGCUCUGUUGUUGGUGAAGAAGGAUAGAGGUAGUAACUGGCCUUUAUUUGACGGUAAUCAACCAGAAAGUCACGGCUAACUACGUGCCAGCAGCCGCGGUAAUACGUAGGUGGCAAGCGUUGUCCGGAUUUAUUGGGCGUAAAGCGAGCGCAGGCGGAGAAAUAAGUCUGAUGUGAAAGCCCUCGGCUUAACCGGGGAAUUGCAUCGGAAACUGUUUUUCUUGAGUGCAGAAGAGGAGAGUGGAACUCCAUGUGUAGCGGUGGAAUGCGUAGAUAUAUGGAAGAACACCAGUGGCGAAGGCGGCUCUCUGGUCUGCAACUGACGCUGAGGCUCGAAAGCAUGGGUAGCGAACAGGAUUAGAUACCCUGGUAGUCCAUGCCGUAAACGAUGAGUGCUAAGUAUUGGGAGGUUUCCGCCUCUCAGUGCUGCAGCUAACGCAUUAAGCACUCCGCCUGGGGAGUACGACCGCAAGGGUUGAAACUCAAAGGAAUUGACGGGGGCCCGCACAAGCGGUGGA
Molecule: ribosomal RNA, 962 nt
Filed under: uncultured bacterium
Lineage: Bacteria
Description: bacterial SSU rRNA
Rfam family: Bacterial small subunit ribosomal RNA
Source: RNAcentral